CCUACGGGUGGCUGCAGUCGAGAAUCAUUCACAAUGGGGGAAACCCUGAUGGUGCGACGCCGCGUGGGGGAAUGAAGGUCUUCGGAUUGUAAACCCCUGUCAUGUGGGAGCAAAUUAAAAAGAUAGUACCACAAGAGGAAGAGACGGCUAACUCUGUGCCAGCAGCCGCGGUAAUACAGAGGUCUCAAGCGUUGUUCGGAAUCACUGGGCGUAAAGCGUGCGUAGGCUGUUUCGUAAGUCGUGUGUGAAAGGCGCGGGCUCAACCCGCGGACGGCACAUGAUACUGCGAGACUAGAGUAAGGGAGGGGGAACCGGAAUUCUCGGUGUAGCAGUGAAAUGCGUAGAUAUCGAGAGGAACACUCGUGGCGAAGGCGGGUGCCUGGACAUUAACUGACGCUGAGGCACGAAGGCCAGGGGAGCGAAAGGGAUUAGAUACCCCUGUAGUC
RNAcentral lists this ribosomal RNA (446 nucleotides) under uncultured bacterium. RNAcentral's name for it is "partial 16S ribosomal RNA". It matches the Rfam family "Bacterial small subunit ribosomal RNA", at positions 338 to 795 of the family's 1533-position model. The record is from RNAcentral.